Molecule: RNA transcript, 3937 nt
Organism: Perognathus longimembris pacificus (Pacific pocket mouse)
Lineage: Eukaryota; Metazoa; Chordata; Mammalia; Rodentia; Heteromyidae
Gene: Ric8b
Gene name: RIC8 guanine nucleotide exchange factor B
Exons: 11
Source: RefSeq, a predicted model, not a curated record
GAGCAGGGUUGCUCUUGCCCGCUGCGGAGAAUGAUUCAUAGAGGAGGGUCAGGAGAGAACAGCUCAGCCUGUGGAAGCGCGCUGCAAAGACUAGACUCUUCUCCGAGGCUGGGAAACCGAGAACCCGCAGGGCCCUGGGCCUGACCCCCGCCUCAGGCCGUUCGCCCUAGGCCUCCUCCGAGUCCUAGGCCUGGUCAGGGGCGGCCGCGAGGCAGCGGUUGCUGGGGGAGCGGUGACGUCGCGGGGUGAAAGUUGAGGGGCGGUGACGUCGGGCCUGCCCGGGCGGAGGCUGGCGGGCUGGAGACUGGAGGGAGGGAGGGAAGGAGGGAAGGAAGGAAGCUGGGAAGGAGCGAGCGGGCGAGCGGGGGCGCGAGGCGUUUACCUGGAGGCAGCGGCUCGGGCGCGCACGGUGGCCGCGGCUCCCCCGCACCUGCGGCCAUGGAUGAGGAGCGCGCCCUCUACAUCGUCCGGGCCGGCGAGGCGGGGGCUAUCGAGCGGGUCCUGAGGGAUUACAGCGACAAGCAUAGGGCUACUUUCAAAUUUGAACCAACAGAUGAAGAUAAAAGAAAGAAACUCUGCGAAGGCAUAUUUAAAGUCCUUGUAAAGGACGUCCCAACAACAUGUCAAGUGUCCUGCCUGGAAGUACUCCGCAUUCUCUCCAGAGACAAAAAGAUUUUAGUUCCUGUAACAACUAAGGAAAAUAUGCAGAUACUGCUGAGACUAGCCAAGCUAAAUGAGUCGGAUGAUUCCUUGGAGAAGGUGUCAGAGUUCCCAGUUAUUGUGGAAUCAUUAAAAUGUCUGUGUAACAUCGUGUUUAACAGUCAGAUGGCACAGCAGCUCAGCCUGGAACUUAAUCUUGCUGCAAAGCUCUGUAACCUCCUGAGAAAGUGCAAGGACCGAAAAUUUAUCAACGACAUUAAGUGCUUUGACUUGCGCUUGCUCUUCCUCUUGUCCCUUUUGCAUACCGACAUCAGAACACAAUUGCGCUAUGAGCUCCAGGGACUACCGCUGCUAACCCAGAUUUUGGAAAGUGCCUUUAGCAUCAAGUGGACCGAUGAGUAUGAAUCGGCCAUAGACCAUAAUGGACCUCCUCUCUCACCUCAGGAGACAGACUGUGCCAUUGAAGCUCUCAAAGCUCUCUUCAAUGUGACAGUAGACAGUUGGAAGGUGCAUAAAGAGAGUGAUUCUCAUCAGUUCCGUGUCAUGGCAGCUGUCCUUCGCCAUUGUUUACUAAUCGUAGGUCCAACUGAAGACAAAACAGAAGAAUUGCACAGCAAUGCAGUCAACCUUUUAAGCAAUGUUCCGGUCUCUUGUCUGGAUGUUCUCAUUUGUCCAUUAACCCAUGAAGAAACAGCCCAAGAGGCAACAACUCUAGAUGAACUGCCCAGUGAUAAAACAACUGAGAAAGAAACGAUUUUGAAAAACAAUACCAUGGUAUACAAUGGUAUGAAUAUGGAGGCCAUUCAUGUUUUACUCAAUUUUAUGGAGAAGAGAAUAGACAAGGGAAGCAGCUAUAGAGAAGGUCUGACUCCAGUUCUCAGCCUGUUAACAGAAUGUUCUCGAGCCCAUCGGAACAUCAGAAAAUUUCUCAAAGAUCAGGUCUUACCACCUUUGAGGGAUGUGACAAAUCGACCUGAAGUUGGCUCCACUGUGAGAAAUAAGCUGGUGCGCCUCAUGACACACGUUGACCUUGGAGUCAAGCAAAUUGCUGCUGAAUUCCUUUUUGUCCUUUGCAAAGAAAGAGUGGAUAGCCUGCUGAAAUACACUGGCUAUGGGAAUGCUGCAGGACUCUUGGCGGCCAGGGGCCUCUUGGCUGGAGGAAGAGGAGAUAAUUGGUACUCAGAAGAUGAGGACACAGACACUGAAGAAUACAAAAAUGCAAAACCAAACAUUAAUCUUAUCACUGGUCAUUUAGAGGAACCAAUGCCAAACCCUAUAGAUGAAAUGACAGAAGAACAAAAAGAAUAUGAAGCCAUGAAACUUGUCAACAUGCUUGAUAAACUUUCCAGACCCUGUCAUUAAUUCCAUGUGUCAAUACUGCCCUGUAGUACACAGAGCAGACAAGAAAGAAGAGCCCUUGAAAACAAGGGAAUGAUUUUUGAGUCGUUAUCAAGCUAAGUGUCAAGCGGGAAGCUGAAACUCGUAUAGGUAAAUUCGAAGGGACUCUUGGGAGAUCUGCAAGUGGGAAACAAGAAUGCAUUUUACCAACUGCUUAAUUAUGUCCUGUUUUUCAACAAGUACACUUGAAUUGAAUGCUUUGUUUGUCCUGCACAAACACAUGUGCUGUGAGCAGGAGUAUUCUCUUGCUUCCAGGUCAAGUAAGGUGUUUUAUACACAUCUCUGACCUACUCUAUAAUGUGCGAUUGGGUAUUAGUAUCUGAGCCCCAAUACUGCACUGUCAUUUGUGGGAGAACGAAUCACAUAGGAGCCAGAAGCCCUAAAAAGUGUGACCUUCUCUGAGGUUCUGAGAAGUUACACGAGCCCAGGCAUCCCAGAGUACCAUACUUACAGGAAAAAUGGUAACUCGGGAAAACGUCAAAAUACAUCUGGGGAAAGAAAGAAAAAAAGCAGACCAGAAAAGGUUAAAUAUGUAUAAAUCCCAUACUAUCCCAUCCCUAGAUCUUUAAGAAAGUUGGGUUUUUUGUUUGUUUGUUUUUUGUUUGUUUUUUGGUUUCCAUUAGCCCUCCCAAGGGUUAGACUGGGGCAAAAUAGGGUUUCCUUUCUUGGACGUGCUUUAUCUGUGUCCUCUUGUCUGGCCAAGCCCUUAGAGAUUAUGGUUCCUUAUCGUUUAGUAAGAUCAAAUUUCUAAAUGAUGUUUCGUUCCAGUUGAACAUUCUUGGAGGCUUAUCUCUUCCCUGGCCAGAUGCCUGAUCAGAUGAGAAGCCCGCCAUGAUACUGUCACAGUGCCUAGAAUGGGCUCUUUAUCCAGUAGACAUCACUGUACUUUUUGAUGAUAACGAGGGCAGUCUUAACUUAUGUUAAGGCCUGUGUAUAGCAUUGAAGAGAGGAGUUGCUUAAGCCAAUGGGACUGAAACCUGACGGGACAAUAACGCCCUUGGAGGAGGCACUCAGCCAGUACUCUGUCAUCGAAGAAACCAGCUCGGACACAGACUAAAAGCGUCAUCACCUGCUCAACUUCCAAUAUUGCUUUUAUUGGCAUCCUUUUUCUGUAGCUCCAGGAGAAUCUUUUCUCUACAACAUUUAUGCCCUUGCUUUGGCUAGAAACACAUUAACUGGUUUACUCAUUGAGAAUCCAGCCUAUUUCAGAGGUGAUCUUGUGUUUUCUGCGAUAUUGAGGCAUUCAUACAGAGCUGCAGUUAGGCAGAGUCCUAGGGGCUAGAAGCAGAGCAGUAAUUCCAUUUCAUCAGGAUGCAACGGAGGACUCCUUUCUGUAAAGCAGCCCUGGGCCAAUCUGGCAGUCCUGGUUGCCAAGAUUCCUAGCCGAAGACACAGCCAUGUCCUUCCUCACUCGCGUGAGCGAGCUCUCCCACGUCUCUCCAGCAGCCAGAGGCAGGCGAGAGCAGAACGAAUGAGCUGGCAAACAAGGGCUGAGGCGAGUGGUUCCUUAGGUCCAGACUGACCGCACGGAAGCCAAGCAGCUGCUCUGUAAACCCCUAGUCCCACUCUUCAUUUCAAUUUUCUAUAAAUAUGGAAACACACACACAAGCACACACAGAGCCCCAGACUUACAAACUUAGUUACACUCUAAAAGUUUGUAUGUCGUGUGGCUACAACUUCAGAAUACUUUACUCCCUAGAAGGAGUUCUAACCGAUGGUUUCGUUCCAGGCAGCUACCUAUGCCUAUUUAUUCCCUUAUGUUCCUGAACACUAGUACCGUAGAACUGGACCGCCAUCCGCAUCGUUGCACUGGGAGUGUGCGUGCCGAGGUCAGCUCGGGGCGCCAGGAGCAGACCCGUCCACUAGCCCAGCAGAGAUG